Molecule: ribosomal RNA, 122 nt
Filed under: Aureococcus anophagefferens
Lineage: Eukaryota; Pelagophyceae; Pelagomonadales; Pelagomonadaceae
Description: partial small subunit ribosomal RNA
Rfam family: Eukaryotic small subunit ribosomal RNA
Source: RNAcentral
ACCUCCGGACUGGGGUUCGCAAGCUUCACAGCGAACGUACCUCGGGAAGUUGGUUAAACCUCACUAUUUAGAGGAAGGUGAAGUCGUAACAAGGUCUCCGUAGGUGAACCUGCAGAAGGAUC